This 79-nucleotide transfer RNA is filed under the name Natronomonas salsuginis. RNAcentral describes it as "Natronomonas sp. F20-122 tRNA-Leu". Lineage: Archaea; Methanobacteriati; Methanobacteriota; Halobacteria; Halobacteriales; Natronomonadaceae. The record is from RNAcentral.
GCCAAGACCUAAGCGCUGCAAAGCAGCGCUUAGGACGCUGUCCCGUAGGGGUCCGCCGGUUCAAAUCCGGUCCCGCGCA